CAAAAGGGUUAGGUUUGUGUAUGGGAUUCCCUAUGCCCCCUGAAUGCACCAUGGGUGCGCAUGUCCGCAGCUUUAGUUCAGAGACAAACGGCAGCCGAACAACGGGCAGUGUGUGCGUUCAUAAGACCGUAAGUUAAUGUUUUACUUCACUCAGUUACGUUGGGGUUCAGCCAUGAGCGUAUUUGAUGACUUACCAGCAGUUUCUGCUUCUGUUUAAGUGAUGUUAUGUAUCAGUGGCAGUUCGCUAGCAUAACAGAUUUGUUCGCUAAUUAGCUGCUAGCAGGGAGAUUCGUUGUUAUCAUGUUGUUGAUUCUGUGCUCUGUGUAACAGAUGAUGAACCAAUGUAAAGUUGCCUUCAGUGCAUAGUUGUACGUGGUGUGUUAAUGCAUAAUGUCUGACUUUAAGUUUAUGUAACCAGUCUGAAGUAUAAUGUCAGUUUAUUUAGUUAUACACUGUACUUGAGUACACCUCAGUUGUAUCUUUAUGUUUAUUAUGUAAUUUGAUUUCUAAGUGAUUUGUAUCAUUAUGCUUUGUCUGCAGAAACCACACACACACACACAAUACAAAGACUGAGAACUUUAUUCCUGGACUCUGCCUGUUUGUUCUUCCCACAUCUGAACAUUUGCAAGUGUUCUGACCCGACACUCUGAAGUGAUUGCUGCCAGCUCAGAUUUCCUUAACCCUUCUAAACAUUUGGUCCUUCGAGCCGGAUGAGAGCAACUGCUUCAGCCUUAUAUGUUCAGGAUGGAAGACCGAUAUCCAUACAGAGAGUCUGACCGCCCACGCAGACAUAGCAAGCUGCCAUCAUACCUCCAGAAUUAUGAAGUGGACGACUUCGCUAAGAACCGACUCUCUUAUGAUGAUCAGGGCAAGCAUUCUACUCAUCCUGAAAUUCUCCAAUAUAUUCAUCAUAUGAAAGAGGAACACAAUCAGCUCCGACUAGAUGUGCAACGCCUGACAGAACUGAUCUCUAGCUCUCCUGUACUAGCUCCACAGCAUGCCACGACACGGUCUGGACAUUGUGAGGAUGUGACAUCAACCACACCUGCCCACACUAGUAAGCUGGUGCCAAUCAGAGGGCAGAAGAGCCCACAUCAGCCUGAAAGUGCUCCACAGGUGCCAUUUGGGGAUGAGUCUCAACAUCCAAAGGACAGCCAGCAGGGCCUGAUCGAGGAGCUCACGCACAGUCUAAAUGAAGCAGAUCUUGACAGGGAGUGCAGCGCACAGUCACCAUCACCUUCGGUCGACUCAUGCCCUGAAUCUCAAGAUUUUCUUCCACCAAUGACACCAGGUGAGAGGCCCCCUUCACUUCAAGCUUCAGCAGCAAGGGGACGGUCACCGUAUUAUGCAGGACAAAGAAGGGUUGAUGAGGUGUAUGCUCGUCGCCACAGGAACUACAGUCAGCCUGCCACUUCUCCUAGAUUGCCAAGGCUAGGGGCCGGCUCUGAAGAUGACCCAUACUACAGACAAGAUGACAGGUAUCCUACCCCUGGUCACCCAAGCUGCCCUGACAGUCACUAUCGUUCUCCUUAUGGAUAUGGGUAUCAGGAUUCGAGUCAUCCGUACAGGCGCUGUGGUAACUACCCAGAUGACCGCCGACAGUGUCCACCCGAUCGUCUGCAACCAGGUGGGUGCCCUCAGACACCACUCUCUCUCAGCAGAGCCCAACCAAUAGAGACUUAUCGUGGACCUCAACCAACGAUCCCUGACUUUGUGCACGAGGACCCACGUGAGUUUGCAAGAUUAAAGUUAGCUCUAGAUAACAUACUUCCACUUGAUGCUCCUGAACACUUCAAGUUCCAGAUCUUGACAGAUCACCUUAAGUGUGAAGAUGCACUACUUGUAGCUGACUCAUACAGUAACAGUCCAUUCCCAUUUGCUGACACCAUGAGAGCACUUACAGAAAUGUAUGGGCAACCUCAACAUCUGGCCUUAAAAAGGAUUACCAAACUGAUGGAUGGACCCAACAUUAGGAGUGGUGACAUCAGAGCCUUCAAGUCUUUUGCCCUCCAAGUCUGUGCGCUAGUGGGGAUGCUACACCAGUUGGGAGAACAAGGUCGGACAGAGUUGAGGUGUGGCUCACAUGUAUCUCGCCUCUUAGCUAAGUUACCUUAUGACCUAAGAGCAAAUUUCCAGAGAUUUGUUAAUCCCCUCAACACUCCUAUACCAACACUGCUUGAUCUGGCUGAAUGGCUCGAGUAUGAGGUGCGUGUCCAGGUAAUUGGAGACCAAUACUGUGACCACUCCGAUAGGGAGAGGCAAGUUUCACGGAAGGAGAGACGUCCUGAGCAUAAGUUUCAGAAGGCUACCACCAUUCUCCAUGGUAGUGAGCCCAGGAGAAAGAUGGAAGGUGACAUGGCAGCGACACAAGAAAGGCCCAAGAAGUACUGCCCAUUCUGUAAUACGGUGCAGCAUUACCUGAAUCAGUGCAGUAACUUCAAACUCUUGUCGAAGGAGCAGAAGACAGAGUGGAUUAAGGUGAAUAAGAGGUGCUGGCGAUGCGCCCGUGAUCAUCAAGCAGCUAAGUGUAACCUCAAAGCCAAGUGUAAACCAUGUGGGCGGCGACAUCUGGAAGUUCUUCAUGAUGUCAAUACCAGCCCAGAUGCUACAGCCUCUGAUUCAACCAGUGCACCAGAGGAAAGCACGUGCUUAGUAAGCUCCACUUCUGAGACACUGUACGUAGACCGGCAAACCAAUAGCAGUCAGGUGCUACUCAAGCUAAGUCGUGUCAUCAUUAGGAGCAGUACCAAGAUGGUUGAAACCUAUGCUAUACUGGAUGAUGGUUCAGAGCGUACCAUACUUCUGCAUGAAGCAGCUGAUCGCUUGGGGCUGCAUGGGGAAGCUGAAGACCUAGCACUCCGCACUGUCCGUCAAGAUAGCUGUACCAUCCAUGGUGCCGCUGUGUCAUUCUCCAUUUCUCCUGCCUCACAGCCUAACAAGUCCUUCCAGAUCCACCGAGCCUUCACAGCAAAGGAACUUGGCCUAGCACGCCAUAGUUACCCAAUAAGAGCAUUACAGGAGCGGUACCGUCACCUUAAGCACCUGCCACUGCCAGACAUAAAGGAAGUACAGCCCCUUCUGCUUAUUGGGUCGGAUAAUCCACAUCUUCUCACUCCUGUGGAGCCAGUACGUCUAGGCCCUCCAGGUGGACCAGCAGCUGUGCACACCCGACUUGGAUGGACUUUGCAGGGUCCAUCGAGAUUCCUACGUCAGCGGCUAACCCCACAGCAGUGUCUCUUCACCUCUGGGGCCUCACCAGAAGCUGAGCUCUUCAGCCAUGUUGAGAGACUCUGGAAGAUGGAAAUCUUGCCAUACCGGAGUGAACGACUCAUUACCAGGUCCCGGCAAGACGCUGAGGCCAUUCAGAGACUUGAAGAACGGACAAUUCGAGUAACAAUUGAUGGAGUAAACCGCUACGCCACCCCACUACUGUGGAAGAAGAAUCUUCCCCCACUUUGUGCUACACCAGAGGCAGUUUUGGCCCAGCUUCGUGGUACAGAGAAACGACUUGCCAGAGAACCACAGAAGGCAGCUGCCUACUCUCUGGAAAUCCAAAAACUGCUGCAGGCUGGCUUCGUCACAGCUGUUGCACCGGAAGAGGCCGCAGUGUGUAACUGUUCGUGGUUUAUCCCCCAUCACAUGGUGCACCACAACGGGAAGGACAGGAUAGUGUUCAACUGUUCCUUCACCUACAAGGGUCAGAGCCUGAACGACUGCCUUCUUCCAGGGCCUACACUGGGAGCUAGCCUGUUGGGAGUCCUUCUCAGGUUCAGGGAACACCCAGUCGCCUUCAGCAGUGACAUAAAGGGGAUGUUCCAUCAGGUCCGUCUGCUAGAUGAGGACAAACGCUUUCUCUGUUUCCUGUGGCGAGACAUGGAGGUAGACGAAAAACCCACCAUCUACCAGUGGCAGGUGCUUCCCUUUGGGACUACAUGCAGUCCGUGCUGCGCUACCUUUGCACUUCAACACCAUGUCCACAAACACACUGAGCCAGGGGAGGAUGCUCGUCUGUCCAUAGAACGUAAUUUCUAUGUUGACAACUGUUUGCAGAGCCUCCCAUCAGAAGGCCAAGCCAAGAAGUUGGUGGAUCGCCUGCAGUCUCUCCUCUUGGAGGGUGGAUUUGAACUACGACAAUGGGCUAGCAAUGUCCACACGGUCAUCAGCCACCUACCAGUUGAGUCCCAGUCAGAGGGUAGCGUUCUCUGGCUCUCCCAGGAGUCAGCCGAUCCUCAAGAGCGCACUCUAGGGCUCGUAUGGCACUGUAAGAGUGAUGCACUCCGGUACAAGCAUCAGCAGAGCGUCAGUUCAGAGCCAACAAUGCGCAACAUUUAUCGGCUGCUCGCCCAGCAGUAUGAUCCUCUCGGGUUUCUUAUUCCAUAUACAACCAGAGCAAAGGUCAUCGUGCAACACCUCUGGGACAAGAAAAGAGGAUGGGAUGAUCCUCACUUACCUGAGAAUCUGCUCCAUGCCUGGCGUUUGUGGGAAAGUGAACUUGGCCAGCUCUCACAGAUAACACUGCCGAGAUGCUACACUGACCCACACUCGGAUUGUAGUAAGAGCCAUCGAAGCCUUCAUGUGUUCUGUGAUGCCUCUGAGCGUGCCUAUGGGUCUGUGGCAUAUCUACGCACCGACCAAGGGGAAGGAAAGGUCCAGGUGGCUUUUUUGGCUGCAAGGUCGAGAGUUGCACCCAAGAAGCAACUCUCAAUUCCAAGGCUAGAGUUGUGUGGAGCCCUUACAGGAGCACAGCUGGCUUCUGUUCUGAAGAAAGAACUGACCCUUGACAUCCAAGAUGUGGUGUUCUGGACAGACUCGACUACAGUGCUUAACUGGCUCCAUUCAGAUUCAUGCAGAUAUAAAGUCUUUGUGGGAACCAGAGUUGCAGAGGUACAAGAACUCUCUGCUGGAGCCUCUUGGCGGUACGUGGACUCAGGAACCAAUCCAGCAGACGGUAUCACGAGAGGGAAAACUGUGGCUCAGCUUGCUGGUGAGAAUCGAUGGAGCCGGGGGCCACCAUUUCUUCAGCUGCCACCCAGCCUUUGGCCACAAGCACCGGUGGGAGAAGCUAAGGAGGAAGUGGAUGAGCUGAAGAAGCCAGUGUUCUGUGGUCUGCUUACUGGAUCCGCUAGUCCAGCGAUACCUGACGUCAAACAGUUCAGCACGUAUGAGGAACUUCUGAAAGCCACUGCUCAAUUGAUGCACGGGGCGGCUACGGACACCAGUCACCCUGAUGCUGAUGAUUUUCGAAGGGCAGAGCUGGCCCUACUUAGACAUUCUCAGAUGGAGAGCUUCCCGAAAGAAUUCACAUUGCUUAAAUCAGAGAAGCUGAUUCCAUCCAGUAGCAGGCUAAUUACCCUCGCUCCUGAGUAUGACAAGGCUUCUGACUUGAUUAGAGUUGGAGGUCGACUCCGCAGAUGUGAAGGCCUGAGCCCUGAGGUACUACACCCUGUACUUCUAGAGCUCGCUCACCCAGUUACGAAGCUUCUAAUCCAGCGAUGUGACAAUAAGCUCAACCACCCGGGAGCUGAACGUGUUUUCGCUGAGUUGCGCCGGAAAUACUGGAUCUUAAGGGGGAGAGAGGCAGUCAGAAGACAUCAGCAUUACUGUCCCGAAUGCAAGAAGUGGAGAGGUCAACCAGAAGUCCCGAAAAUGGCAGAUUUGCCGCCCUCAAGUUUGAGGCUCUUCCGACCUGCUUUCUAUUCAACUGGAAUGGACUGUUUCGGCCCUAUGCUCAUUAAAGUGGGUCGGCGCACAGAAAAAAGGUGGGGCAUCCUUUUCAAGUGUCUUACUACUCGAGCAGUUCACCUGGAUCUGCUGGUAAACAUGGAUGUUGACUCCUUCUUGAUGUCACUCAGACGGUUCAUAGCCCGUAGAGGGAAGCCGUUUGAACUCCUUUCAGACCAGGGUACCAACUUUCGAGGUGCAAGUAAGGAACUACAAGAAGCAUUCACUGCCCUCACACCAGAUCUUAGACAGCAACUGGCGGCAGAACAGAUCCGAUUCUCUUUCAAUCCCCCUAGUGCUCCACACUUUGGUGGGUCUUGGGAGAGAGAGGUGCGAUCUGUGAAAACCGCCCUGCGCACCACGUUGGGAGCGCAGAUAGUGUCAGAGGAAGUGCUGAGGACUGUCCUGCUUGAGGUGGAGAGUAUACUCAACUCCAGGCCUUUGGGUUAUGUUUCUUCAGACAUCGCAGACCCAGAUCCCAUCACGCCCUACUCUUUGUUGAUGGGGCGGCCAGAUUGCUCUCUACCCCAAGUGUUCUAUCCAGAAUCCGAGCUGCUCAGUCGUAAGAGGUGGAGACACACUCAAGUCCUGACUGACCAAUUCUGGAAGCACUUCUUACGGCAUUUUAUGCCCACCUUGCAACCACGGCAGAAAUGGCACAAGGAAACAGACAACAUUGCAGUUGGAUCUGUAGUUCUCAUUGUUGAUCAGCAGACCCCACGAGCGCUCUGGCAAAUAGGAACUGUGAAAACUAUCUUACCAGGGGCUGAUGAUCGUGUCAGAGCUGCAGUCGUUCAAGUAAAGGACCGAACUUACACUCGCCCAGUGGCACGGCUCAUCAGGUUGCCUGUUCUACCCCAGGAUUCUGCUUAGGUGCAGAGGACAUUCCACCAAGGUCAAAUUUGUACACCAAAUUUGGGGGCGGCUGUACAAAAGGGUUAGGUUUGUGUAUGGGAUUCCCUAUGCCCCCUGAAUGCACCAUGGGUGCGCAUGUCCGCAGCUUUAGUUCAGAGACAAACGGCAGCCGAACAACGGGCAGUGUGUGCGUUCAUAAGACCGUAAGUUAAUGUUUUACUUCACUCAGUUACGUUGGGGUUCAGCCAUGAGCGUAUUUGAUGACUUACCAGCAGUUUCUGCUUCUGUUUAAGUGAUGUUAUGUAUCAGUGGCAGUUCGCUAGCAUAACAGAUUUGUUCGCUAAUUAGCUGCUAGCAGGGAGAUUCGUUGUUAUCAUGUUGUUGAUUCUGUGCUCUGUGUAACAGAUGAUGAACCAAUGUAAAGUUGCCUUCAGUGCAUAGUUAAACCACACACACACACACACACACACACAAUACAAAGACUGAGAACUUUAUUCCUGGACUCUGCCUGUUUGUUCUUCCCACAUCUGAACAUUUGCAAGUGUUCUGACCCGACACUCUGAAGUGAUUGCUGCCAGCUCAGAUUUCCUUAACCCUUCUA
RNA transcript from Oreochromis niloticus (Nile tilapia), 7177 nucleotides. RefSeq lists it as uncharacterized. The record is from RefSeq and is a predicted model, not a curated record. The transcript is spliced from 2 exons. NCBI's taxonomy places the organism in Eukaryota, Metazoa, Chordata, Actinopteri, Cichliformes, Cichlidae.